CUAAAGCCUUGUGACCCCUUAGGAGGCUGGUGAUUUCCUCACAAGGAGGACCUAAGAGCACCAAGAAGCAUAGUGAGCUCCUUAGAGGGAACGUUUCACUGACGGUGUGAUCUGAUGGGUUGAGCAUGAACAUUCUGCAGCACAGACCGGGUUCCUCCAGGCCUUGGAGGGGCUGAUCUUCCAGCUCCUGGGAGCCUGUCAGUGUCUCAGGGCUUCUGGGAGCAGGCCCUGCACAGAGCAUGAGCCUGUCGAUGGAGACAUCGACAUAGAGAUGAGACAUGGAAAGACUCUCCUGAGACCUUCUAGUCUCUGAUUUGGGGAUCUUCCUGAGACACAACUGCUUUCCCGACAGUGGGUGCAGAAAGAAACCCUCUGCCCGUUCAGUGAUUGAUCCUUUGUGCGUAAGCUGGCUUGAGUUGGUUUCGGCUACUUCCAACGAAUCCAGUCUCGUCUUCAACAUAAACAAAAGCAGAAGCAGGAGCCCCGGAGAUGCCUCGAUACUAUCAGGUCCGGGAGUGACAGUCAAACCGGGUCCCUAGAGACCACUGAUGACGGGGUCGCUUCCCUGCCAGGGCCAAGGCCUCAGAGCACAUGGCCCUAGAAGGGAGUAAAGACUGUGUUGUAAAAAAAAAAAAAAAACAAGAAGAAGAAGGAAAAAGAUGAACUACCUUCUAAACUGUGGGGACAGUGCUGGAGUGGCUGUCCACAUUGAUCAUGGCAAGAUCAUUGCAAGCUCAGCAAGAACCAGCUGCCGGGUCACGGCCUGUUUGGAAAGACAAAUGCAGUCCAUUAAAGGGG
Molecule: long non-coding RNA, 798 nt
Filed under: Equus asinus (donkey)
Lineage: Eukaryota; Metazoa; Chordata; Mammalia; Perissodactyla; Equidae
Description: lncRNA (ENSEASG00005035422.1)
Source: RNAcentral